Molecule: ribosomal RNA, 256 nt
Filed under: uncultured bacterium
Lineage: Bacteria
Description: partial 16S ribosomal RNA
Rfam family: Bacterial small subunit ribosomal RNA
Source: RNAcentral
UACGGGGGGGGGGCAAGCGUUGUUCGGAAUUACUGGGCGUAAAGGGCUCGUAGGCGGCCAACUAAGUCCGACGUGAAAUCCCAAGGCUUAACCUUGGAACUGCGUCGGAUACUGGAUGGCUUGAAUUCGGGAGAGGGAUGCAGAAUUCCAGGUGUAGCGGUGAAAUGCGUAGAUAUCAGGAGGAACACCGGUGGCGAAGGCGGGUCUCUGGGCCGAUACUGACGCUGGAGGAGCGAAAGCGUGGGGAGCGAACAGG